Molecule: non-coding RNA, 210 nt
Filed under: Rossellomorea vietnamensis
Lineage: Bacteria; Bacillati; Bacillota; Bacilli; Caryophanales; Bacillaceae
Description: Bacillus vietnamensis T-box sequence
Rfam family: T-box leader
About the family: Uncharged tRNA acts as the effector for transcription antitermination of genes in the T-box leader family. T-boxes are found upstream of many aminoacyl-tRNA synthetase genes and some amino acid biosynthetic genes usually in Gram-positive bacteria.
Source: RNAcentral
UUUAAAUCGUUGAUAGGAAAUAGUAGUAAAGAAGGCUUGCUAAAGAGAGUCGAUGGCCGGUGAGAAUCGAUGCAGGAGCUUUACGAAUCCAUCCUUGAGUGAAGUACUGAAUGAAGUAGGUAUUUUCGGUGAUUCCGUUACCAUCUCUUAAGAGGAAGAUGCGAGAGCGUCUUCAAUUAGGGUGGCAACGCGGAAACCUCCGUCCCUUUU